Molecule: ribosomal RNA, 377 nt
Filed under: Anaxyrus americanus (American toad)
Lineage: Eukaryota; Metazoa; Chordata; Amphibia; Anura; Bufonidae
Description: partial 12S ribosomal RNA
Rfam family: Bacterial small subunit ribosomal RNA
Source: RNAcentral
GCCUAGCCGUAAACUUUUACUCACAUCCAAUUCGCCAGGGAACUACGAGCCAAGCUUAAAACCCAAAGGACUUGACGGUACCCCAUAUCCACCUAGAGGAGCCUGUCCUAUAAUCGAUAAUCCACGUUUAACCUCACCAUUUUUAGUUACUCAGCCUGUAUACCUCCGUCGUCAGCUUACCACGUGAGCGUCAAUUAGUGAGCUUAAUGUUUUUCACCAAUACGUCAGGUCAAGGUGCAGCAAAUGAAAUGGGAAGAGAUGGGCUACACUUUCUAUUUUAGAAGAAACGGAAAACUACCUAUGAAAUCUAGUUAGAAGGCGGAUUUAGCAGUAAAAAGGAAUCAGCAUAUCCAUUUUAACCCGGCACUGGGGUGUGU